AGUGGGGAAUAUUGCACAAUGGGCGGAAGCCUGAUGCAGCAACGCCGCGUGCGGGAUGACGGCCUUCGGGUUGUAAACCGCUUUCAGCAGGGGCGAAGCUUUUGUGACGGUACCUGCAGAAGAAGCACCGGCUAACUACGUGCCAGCAGCCGCGGUGAUACGUAGGGUGCGAGCGUUGUCCGGAUUUAUUGGGCGUAAAGAGCUCGUAGGUGGUUGAUUGCGUCGGAAGUGAAAACUUGGGGCUUAACCCUGAGCGUGCUUUCGAUACGGGUUGACUUGAGGAAGGUAGGGGAGAAUGGAAUUCCUGGUGGAGCGGUGGAAUGCGCAGAUAUCAGGAGGAACACCAGUGGCGAAGGCGGUUCUCUGGACCUUUCCUGACGCUGAGGAGCGAAAGCGUGGGGAGCGAA
RNAcentral lists this ribosomal RNA (407 nucleotides) under uncultured Propionibacterium sp. RNAcentral's name for it is "bacterial SSU rRNA". It matches the Rfam family "Bacterial small subunit ribosomal RNA", at positions 353 to 772 of the family's 1533-position model. Lineage: Bacteria; Bacillati; Actinomycetota; Actinomycetes; Propionibacteriales; Propionibacteriaceae. The record is from RNAcentral.